Armillaria fumosa is the source of this 129-nucleotide non-coding RNA. NCBI's taxonomy places the organism in Eukaryota, Fungi, Basidiomycota, Agaricomycetes, Agaricales, Physalacriaceae. The record is from the annotation of a GenBank genome assembly.
GGCAAGAUGGCCGAGCGGUUAAGGCGUGUGACUCAAGUCAGCGGGAUUAUGCAAUCCUAGACCGACUUCCCUGAAUUCGGGGUUUCUCAUCACGGUAUCGUGGCGUGGGUUCAAGUCCCACUCUUGUCA